UACUGCUCCGAUUACAGCAGUAAACACUGGGCAGCGGCCCCCGCGAGGGAGGGGUUGUUUGGAAGUCGUUUAAAGACAGUGUCACCCUCGGGAUAAAUGCCCAGAAGCCGGGGCCACUGCCACGAUGGGCUGGGAAGUGUGGGGACACCCGCGGCCAAGCGAGGCUUUGGCCCGAGUUUGGCUGCAGGUCAGGCCCAGGGCUUCCAGAGAAGAAACUGCCAGACUGGCAGGGCUUAAACCUUCCAGAAGGUAUAUAUCGGUCCUUCUUCAGGAGCGGGGAUGCCCCUGGGGCCGGUGGCCUGGCGGCGAGGCUGCUCCUAGCGUCGCGCCUAGCCAGCCCGCUGCUCCGGCCGUGUCCCGGGCCCCAGGCUGGCCGCUGCGGACACUUCCUGUCCCGCCGCCCAAAGCUCGCGCUCUCGAGGUAACCGGAGUGGGAAUGGCCGGCCCGGAGGUUGCGGAGGUGUGAAGGGACGGCCAGAGGCCAGCGCCUCAGGCGUCUUCUCCUGCCUGGCCUGCAGAAGUGCUUGUAUUCACAAAUCUCUGGGAGUUGAAACAAAAUUCAAGGCACAGAGAAGCUGAGCCAAGUUCAAAGUCACAUCGCCGUCCACUCUCAGAAGUGCUUUAUUUCUCUACAAACUGCAAAACCCCUUUCCUUCGUGACACCGUAUUUUUUUUUUUAAGGAAGGAAAGGGAAGAGCGGGCGAGAGAGAGCAAGGGGGGGGGACCUGCAAAGGCUUUCAGAGUUAUUGCCUCAAAAGUAGACUCGGGUUCCUUGGCUGGAGGGAAAAAAAAAAAAAAAAGGCGGCCAAGCUGCUUCUGCGUUCUGCACGGCGUGAGUGAAUUCAGUUUUUCAACAGGUUUCUGGAAGGGCCUGUCUGCGGCGGUGUCAGGCCCGCAGGACCUGCAACUGUCUCCAUCCUGCAAACGUGUUCCCUCUUUGUAAGUUUCCCAAAAUUAUUCUUUGGAAAUCUUAGGGAGCCCGCAUCGUGUUGGGCCAGAGCCUGGGACUGAUGAGCAUCCGGCCCCAGGGCGUGCAUCCGGCGUACAUUUCUCUCUAAGUGGAGGGAAUGACAGCAAGAUGGAGAAUUCGGCUAUCUUGAAAAAAUGGACAAUCCCCACAAACAUCCAAGCACUCAUCAACCAAGCACCUUGUUGCGGUUUGCAGGCCUAUGUAAACGGUAUUGACUAAGUUC
Molecule: non-coding RNA, 1193 nt
Organism: Microcebus murinus (gray mouse lemur)
Lineage: Eukaryota; Metazoa; Chordata; Mammalia; Primates; Cheirogaleidae
Source: RefSeq, a predicted model, not a curated record